Molecule: ribosomal RNA, 469 nt
Filed under: uncultured bacterium
Lineage: Bacteria
Description: partial 16S ribosomal RNA
Rfam family: Bacterial small subunit ribosomal RNA
Source: RNAcentral
GACGAACGCUGGCGGCGUGCUUAACACAUGCAAGUCGAACGGAAAGGCCCUGCUUUUGUGGGGUGCUCGAGUGGCGAACGGGUGAGUAACACGUGAGUAACCUGCCCUUGACUUUGGGAUAACUUCAGGAAACUGGGGCUAAUACCGGAUAGGAGCUCCUGCUGCAUGGUGGGGGUUGGAAAGUUUCGGCGGUUGGGGAUGGACUCGCGGCUUAUCAGCUUGUUGGUGGGGUAGUGGCUUACCAAGGCUUUGACGGGUAGCCGGCCUGAGAGGGUGACCGGCCAAAUUGGGACUGAGGUACGGCCCAGACUCCGACGGGGGGCAGCAGUGGGGAAUAUUGCACAAUGGGCGGAAGCCUGGUGCAGCAACGCCGCGUGCGGGAUGACGGCCUUCGGGUUGUAAAACGCUUUCGCCUGUGACGAAGCGUGAGUGACGGUAAUGGGUAAAGAAGCACCGGGUAACUACGUGC